UAGUAUAUAUAUUUCGUCGCAUUUGAAAGUAUAAGACCAACAACAGUUCAUACCAAAGCGGGAUACACAAAACCGGAACAAAGAGAACAAGAAAAAUAUAUAGUUGCUUUGACAGAAAGAAUCAGUAACAGCAUUAACAGCAACCACUACCAACACAAUGCUAUCUACACGAACAAUCCUGGUCUGCGUCGUCUUGGUGUCCGUGAUGCUGUACGCAGAGGGACGCAUGUGUCAAAUGGACCCGGCCACCAUGUCAUGCACGGAUGUUGUGCCGCGAGGGGGUCCGAAUAAGGGCGUGUCCAUGUGCUCGAAAAUAGGAAAACAAUGCCAAUUGAAAAUACGACGCAAGUCAAUUCAGUGCAUGUGCGGAGGGGAACCUGAUGGACAUCCGCUGCAUUAGGAUUAUAAGUGGUUUAAGGUCCGAGGUAUGGUCUAACGUAAUAAACGCUGUUUCAAAACGGGUUUCAGAACGAAUGACUGCAAAUCGAAUGAUGGAAAUAUGAUGGACAAGAGUUAAUUGCUUAAACUGUACGGUAAAUGAGGGAAAUGAUAGAAAUGAUGUUAAUAAGUCACCAACAACUUGCAGGGCCGGUUUUAUGUGAAAUACUCUUUUGAAUGACUGUAGGAAUUUUUAUGAACAUGUCAUUUUAAUAUGUCCUUUAAAGUCUCAACAACUGAGUCCCUGGCGGGUAUGAUUGUUUUUAUAUGAGCGCGGUGAAAUGCUCAUUUUCUUGUGCGAACUUUGCACCUUCCAUCUUGUGAAUUUCCAUUGUCUUAAUAGUUGUAUGAAUUACAUACUUGUUUUGAGAUACACAGUAUUAUUUAUUUACUUUACAAGUGUGUUGGAAUAUUUUUUAAGGUGAUACAUAUGAUGCCUUCAUACAAGAUUAUCGUGGUAUUUAUUUGUUUUGUAUAUGUAUUGUUUUUAUGUUAUUUAUUAAGUUUUUACAUUGUGAUGUUUUACUUUUUUACGUGAUUUGUUAUAUACAUUCACACUAAUGAUGCUGAAUAAAGUGCCUUUUUACAUUUCUGAAUAAAAUCUUACUUCCAUAAUCAUCAACUUACGUUAUAUUUGCCACUUUCAAAUUGAAAUGCAUACAUUUGUAUAACCGCCGACCUCUUAUAAUAUUUAGACUUUAUGUUCAUUUCUAAAAACAAUUAGUGUUGAUCUGUAGUGUUUUAUAUUUUUUAUAUUGUUUUCGGAUAUUGCUGAAUUAAAUAUUAACAAGG
This is a long non-coding RNA of Dreissena polymorpha, 1230 nucleotides long. RefSeq lists it as uncharacterized. The transcript has 2 exons. NCBI's taxonomy places the organism in Eukaryota, Metazoa, Mollusca, Bivalvia, Myida, Dreissenidae. The record is from RefSeq and is a predicted model, not a curated record.